RNAcentral lists this long non-coding RNA (1535 nucleotides) under Struthio camelus australis. RNAcentral's name for it is "lncRNA (ENSSCUG00000017511.1)". The record is from RNAcentral. Lineage: Eukaryota; Metazoa; Chordata; Aves; Struthioniformes; Struthionidae.
GGGUGACCCUGAGGUGGAGACCCAGUAGCACAUGGGGGGAGGUGGCAGUGGGGACAGUGGCACCUCGGUGGUGGCACCUCAGGGUGACACACAGAGGUGGGUGGCACCCCCAGGUCAGCUGGCCCCCAAAUGUCAUCUGCUCCGUCACCUUGCGCAGGGAUGAGUGGGCGGGGCCAGAGGUGGGCCCAGGCAUCCGGCCACCACCCCCUGGCCCCAAAAUGGCCAGGAUUCACCCCAAAACCUUCCCCCUAACGCCACACGCUCAGAGGGCCCGGGCGUCCGGGUGAGAUUUAUUGCGCUCGGUUGGGGGGGGUGGAGGGGUGCUGCCCCUCCCUUAAAUAACAGUGAUAAAUAGAAAAAACCCCAAAUUAAAUAAAUCCUCCUUAAAUAAAUAAAAUAGAAUAAAAUAAAUAAGCAGGGGAAGGGGCAGGGCAGCACCCAAAGGUGACGGGUGCCACCCCACGGGUGACAGGAGGGUCCCCGAGGCCCCGGUGACGGGCGCCGCCCCUCAGUGGGCUGCGGCAGGGCUGGCGCCUCCCCGUCCUCAGGGUGCUGUUGGGCACCCACAGCCCUGUGGGUGUCUCCCAAACCGUCCUGUCCCCAGGUGGGGGGGGGCCCAAGGGAGGGGUCCGGACAGGUGUCCUGGGUGUCACUGGGGUCCCAGCGGGUGUCCCAGUGGGUGUCAAUGGAGUCCUGACUGGUGUCACGGGGGUCCUGACAGCUGUCCCAGGAGUCCCGACAGGUGUCACGAGCGUCAUGGGGGUCCUAAGAGGUAUCAUGGGUGUGCCAGCAGGUGUCAUGGGUGUCCUAUGGGGGUCCCAGCAGGUGUCACAGGGGUCCUGGUGGGUGUCACUGGGGUCCUGACGGAUGUCCCAGCAGUCCUGUCAGGUGUCACGAGUGUCACGGGGCUCCUGGUGGGUGUCACUGGGGUCCUGACGGAUGUCCCAGCAGUCCUGUCAGGUGUCACGAGUGUCACGGGGCUCCUGGUGGGUGUCACUGGGGUCCUGACGGAUGUCCCAGCAGUCCUGUCAGGUGUCACGAGUGUCACGGGGCUCCUGGUGGGUGUCACUGGGGUCCUGACGGAUGUCCCAGCAGUCCCGUCAGGUGUCACGAGUGUCACAGGGCUCCUGGUGGGUGUCACUGGGGUCCUGACGGAUGUCCCAGCAGUCCCGUCAGGUGUCACGAGUGUCACAGGGCUCCUGGUGGGUGUCACUGGGGUCCUGACGGAUGUCCCAGCAGUCCCGUCAGGUGUCACGAGUGUCACAGGGCUCCUGGUGGGUGUCACUGGGGUCCUGACGGAUGUCCCAGCAGUCCCGUCAGGUGUCACGAGUGUCACAGGGCUCCUGGUGGGUGUCACUGGGGUCCUGACGGAGGUCCCAGCAGUCCCGUCAGGUGUCACGAGUGUCAUGGGGCUCCUGGUGGGUGUCACUGGGGUCCUGACGGAUGUCCCAGCAGUCCCGUCAGGUGUCACGAGUGUCACUGGGGUCCUGACGGAGGUCCCAGCAGUCCCGUCAGGUGUCACUGGGCUCCUGGUG